This 406-nucleotide ribosomal RNA is filed under the name uncultured bacterium. RNAcentral's name for it is "bacterial SSU rRNA". It matches the Rfam family "Bacterial small subunit ribosomal RNA", at positions 355 to 776 of the family's 1533-position model. The record is from RNAcentral.
UGGGGAAUAUUGGUCAAUGGGGGAAACCCUGAACCAGCAACGCCGCGUGAAGGAAGAAGGCCUUCGGGUUGUAAACUUUUGUCUUCAGGGAAGAAUAAAUGACGGUACCUGAGGAGGAAGCCACGGCUAACUACGUGCCAGCAGCCGCGGUAAUACGUAGGUGGCAAGCGUUGUCCGGAAUUACUGGGUGUAAAGGGUGCGUAGGCGGGUAAUAAAGUCAGAUGUGAAAUGCCGGGGCUCAACUCCGGAAAUGCAUUUGAAACUCAUUAUCUUGAGUGAAGUAGAGGCAAGUGGAAUUCCCAGUGUAGCGGUGAAAUGCGUAGAUAUUGGGAGGAACACCAGUGGCGAAGGCGACUUGCUGGGCUUUAACUGACGCUGAGGCACGAAAGCAUGGGGAGCAAACAGG